RNAcentral lists this long non-coding RNA (1458 nucleotides) under Ornithorhynchus anatinus (platypus). RNAcentral describes it as "lncRNA (ENSOANG00000049667.1)". Lineage: Eukaryota; Metazoa; Chordata; Mammalia; Monotremata; Ornithorhynchidae. The record is from RNAcentral.
ACGGGCCCGAGGCACGAUCUGCCCUCCUGUUGGCCGGUAAUGACGGCCUGUGCCAAAGUCUGAAUCUCCGCCUUUAAAAGGUCCCCUCCUGUCUGCAUUAAUUGUGACCCUGGCCGUAAUCUCGGUAUCAUUUCUCCUCCAGUGCGCACUCCUCUCGAUUUGGGCCUAAAAUGCCGUUUUGCAAAUAACCCCACACUGCUCACGCCUAGCCGGACUCACCACCCUGCCAAUUCAAACGUACUACUGCCACCUCCUGGCCGACAUCUGAAUUGCAACGGUAGAGCCUAGGGCCGGAAUCACAGCAUGGCUAAUCGCAGCUCAGUGCCGCUUCCCGAUAUCCUUAACAAUUUAUCGCCCUGCAAAAAGAAGUCCAGCUCGGACCUAACUGAGAAAUUUGCAAAUCCGCACUCAAUGCGGCCACGAUUUAACCUCGAUCCUCCUCAGCGACAGGCUGUAACGUGAAGUCCGUGGCUGGAAUUUCAACCCCGUUCGUUGCACAUCAAUCCUUUCCACCCUCAGUCACGUGGGCCGAAUUCAUUUUGAGCACGGGGGUGAACGACACGCUCAGAGCUCGGGCUUACAGGCUUAGAUGCGAGAGGGCUCUGAAAUGGUGUUAACGGCAAAAUAUGGAUGUGUUUUGAAGAACUCUACCCCAAGAGCCUUAAUGGCGAUUCACGGUGAAAUAAGGGAAGGAAGCAACCUUCACAAGGAGGCUAGGAUUCUCACCAUCAUUACCAAGUGGGGUCUCCUGCGGUAAGAAAUGGAUGAGCUCUGAUCCCGUCUCGAAGGCUUUGGGACGACGGAUCUGCCUGAAGGGAUUGACUCUACUGCUAGCGUCCUGAGCAGAGCCACUCGCUUUCUCUCGCCCCCUGCCAGGUGGGUUUCCAUGGGGACGCGGAGUGCGGCAAACCAACGGACAUGGGUGCGGCCCGCACACUGAGAAGCUGGAGAGAAUUUCACAUUCAAAACUCACAGGCCUCACCAAGCACCCAUAUGUGAAUGGUAUUGGACCUGUCUGGGAUGUAUGAAGCAAUUUACACAGGCCUGGCUCCUGCCCUUUUUAAGGCCCUGCAGUCUAAAACAGCUAAUGACAUGGGCAGAUAUAAAUGACUGGACAUGAAUAAAGUAAUGUGCAUUUAUUUACCUGCUUUAGCAUCUGUGGUUACGUACUGGGUCGUGCACUCUCACUUCCACUCCAGCAGAGCUUGGGGAAAGGGCUCUUUGUUCGAAGGAAAUAGCAUACAUCAAGAUGCAGGGUCUGGACUAGAAAAACCAUAAAAGGAACAGCAAGAAAUAUAAUCAGUGCUAUUUACCGGGAGCUUACUGUGUGCAAAUUUAGUGUCAAAGUGGAGGUAAUUGGUGAAGGGGGAUGAAAGGGGGGGCAGUGCCGGCAAGACCAGACACGGAGUAGCUAGUGGGGAUAAGGAGGAGAGAGUUUGGGACAGGCCUUGUAAUAAA